AGACUAAACCACGCACCAGCGCAAAGCAAUACAAUCCAGCAAAAUAUAGGACAUAGGUAUUACUCUCCGGAGGCCUGAACCUGUCUAAACCUUCGUGUUCUUGUGAUCACCUUCGAGUUCUUGGUCUCGCAAUCCUCCCUGCCUACAAAUGAACCACUUAGGUAACCCCCUGGUGGACUGCCGGGCUACUAAAUCCAACACUAUCCAUCUUCUGGAAGAAACUUUCUUUAUCACCUUCCAAUAUUUGAGAUUCAUGUAAACAUUUUCAACCGUUGGAUCUUCUCUCCAAACCCUAGCCCCCAAUCCCACCCACCCAUGCCAACAUCACCCCCCCCACGCGGAUCCGCGGCCCCGGCCGCUGCCCCCCCCCC
RNAcentral lists this long non-coding RNA (371 nucleotides) under Setaria viridis. Its description in RNAcentral is "long non-coding RNA (SVIR_LNC006562)". The record is from RNAcentral. Lineage: Eukaryota; Viridiplantae; Streptophyta; Magnoliopsida; Poales; Poaceae.